Molecule: ribosomal RNA, 473 nt
Filed under: Lactobacillus delbrueckii subsp. bulgaricus
Lineage: Bacteria; Bacillati; Bacillota; Bacilli; Lactobacillales; Lactobacillaceae
Description: bacterial SSU rRNA
Rfam family: Bacterial small subunit ribosomal RNA
Source: RNAcentral
CCUUCGGGGUGAUUUGUUGGACGCUAGCGGCGGAUGGGUGAGUAACACGUGGGCAAUCUGCCCUAAAGACUGGGAUACCACUUGGAAACAGGUGCUAAUACCGGAUAACAACAUGAAUCGCAUGAUUCAAGUUUGAAAGGCGGCGCAAGCUGUCACUUUAGGAUGAGCCCGCGGCGCAUUAGCUAGUUGGUGGGGUAAAGGCCUACCAAGGCAAUGAUGCGUAGCCGAGUUGAGAGACUGAUCGGCCACAUUGGGACUGAGACACGGCCCAAACUCCUACGGGAGGCAGCAGUAGGGAAUCUUCCACAAUGGACGCAAGUCUGAUGGAGCAACGCCGCGUGAGUGAAGAAGGUCUUCGGAUCGUAAAGCUCUGUUGUUGGUGAAGAAGGAUAGAGGCAGUAACUGGUCUUUAUUUGACGGUAAUCAACCAGAAAGUCACGGCUAACUACGUGCCAGCAGCCGCGGUAAUACAA